AGAGUCUUCAUCUAAAGCAUACAGAAAGGAGGGCUGUAACCAGCCACAGCAGUGGAGAUUUUCUGUUGUCUGACAGAUCAGGCACAACGUCUCCGUACUCUGCUGUCAUUGCAUUCAGCUUCACUUGGGCUUUUGUGAGAUCCUGCCGAGCCAUCUUCAGUGCCAGAGUGAGCUUCACCACAUCUUCACCCUUUUCACCUUUACACAACAAGCGUUAUGGUUGGAAAAGACCACGAAGAUCAUCUAGCCCAACUGCCCACCCAUGUCCCCUCCUAAUCCCUUCCCCAUGUGCUUAUGGAUAUUUUGUUCACUAAUUUAGCUUAUUUUAAGAGUCAGAUCAUAUCUGAUGAUAUUUUGGAGACGCUUAAUGCUGCACCGUGGGUGUGCAAUGGGCCUCUGGGCAACACAGAUCCCUACAGAGAUCUACUUACCACCUUGGACCUGGUGCUGUUUCAUGUCCAGCUGCUCGCUGUGCACCUCAUUCAGUUUUGCUACAAGCAGUUUGCGGGCGCCGUACUCCUGGAGGUAGCGUGUGUACUCCUCAGCUACACUCAUCUGCAGGUGCUCCACCUGCAGGAAUUGAUCAGCAUCGGUGGGAAGCCUUGGGGUGGCGUGGUGAGCCUAGAGCAGAACUAUGGGGCAGGUGUGGGGUAAGGGAUGUGAAGUAGGAAAAAGAAACUGGAGCAGGAGAGUGGCAAGAAAUAACACUGUAGGAAAGGAUGGUUAGGGAGAAACAUGCCAGAAAGGUUUGGACUCCAGAGAAGGUUGCUGAAGAGUGCUCUGUCUGUGUUUUGCCUUUCAGAGAGCGAAUUAGAUACAGUUCAUGCUGAGUUCCAAGGUUUCUCUAUUGUAAUUCCAUCCCCCAAAAAAGCAGCAGGCAGCUUGGAGAGCUCCUGUGAUUCUGGUGAGAACUCUGAAGGCAAACCGUGUGCCUCCCCUUCCCCCCAAAAGCAAACUGUAUGUAAAUUCUCAGUUGCCUCAGAGAUCGUUCAGUUUAUCCCCAUAUGAGGCUUGUAAAUACCAACAAGUGGAGGAAACAAAGGGAAGUCUAGAAAUGCUAAGGGAAGAAAUAUUUUUGAGUGUUUCAAUCUAUGUGCUGAAGCCCAAGUCUCCAAGGUUCAACAAAUGCUAUCUCCACGACUGUGGAGUCUACAGUCUGUGCAGAAGCUGGUUGUCUGGGACAGCAGCUACAAGUCAAGGCUUCUGGUAGCAGCACAGCCAGCCCUAAGGGAACACGGAUGUUCUUGAGAUCCAGCAUUUCUACAGUGCCAGCUGCUCACCACCAGCUGCAGUACUUCUCCUGGCACUAAAGGAUGAGCACCUGGGAGGAAGAGAUCAGAUGGAUCCAGUGCUAAUAUCUGCUGGGUGCACUCCUCAGACACGGUGGUGACCAUGGCCUUCAAGGGCUCUAGGGCACGGAUUGUCUCCUUCUGAUGAGCUAAAGAGAGCAGAGGUAAGUUCUUACAAUGAGCAACAAAACCUGAAUUUUACUUGAAUUUUGUCUCCUUGAGUAUUUCAGGCUUUGUGGCAAUGAACACUGAUGAUGCCAUCAUGCUUCACUAGGUUGUCAUCAUUUAAGCACAGGCAGCAUACAGAGCUGAAGAUAGCUGCUGAUUAGUGGUUUACCUGGCUUUGUAAAGGCAUGGUCUUCACAAACUUAGAUUGGCUUUCUUGUCUCCAAAUGCAAGGCCUUGUGCCACCUGCAUACAAACUUGUCUACACACUCUCCUCUCUUUUCAGGGACGUGUUGCCCUCUCUUCAUUUCUCUUUUUCAUCAGUACAACUAAUACAGAACUCAUUAUAUUGGCUUUACUGCCAUCUGUGCUUUUCACUCUCAACUAUUUCCCCUUUGAAUUGAUUAUUUUUCCUAAAGGCACUUAUCUGAGGGGAUUGGUGUGAGUGCUUGGGUGCCAGAUCCCAGUCACGUGGUAGAACUCCACCUGUCACCACCUCCUUGUUGUGGAAGCUUGCUUUUAUGACUAAAUGAAAUUCCACCACAAGAAGAUGUAAUUCAAAUGAGGCUGUGGCAAAGGUUUUCCUUGCUGAAUAAUGCAUACAUUCUCUCUCCUGAACAGGAUAGAAAUGCUGGCAGAUACUGAGUAAUGUCACUUGCAGACAUUUUCCUCUUUGCCAGAACUCUAAUAUAAGUAUUCAUGUACAAAUACCAUGCAGCAGACUCUGUAUUUUAAAACCUAAAAUGCAUGCAUAAAUCUAAAAACAGGAAUGACUUUUCUUAUUAUAGUUGGGUGUGAGUUUCCUUCCUGUGCUGUAACUGUACCAAAGGUUUUUCUGAGCUCUUUCACUAUGACGCUGGUACCAGGCCAGCUCCCCAGAAGAUGGCAAAAAUGAGAGCACUAGCAUAGCUCACUUGGUGUGAACAAAGAACACUAUGUUGUGUCAUUGGAGAGUUUCACAACUGGCUGCUGACCACUUGGCAAGGAGGAAUCAAUAAAACAUCUUGAGUAGAAAAUAUGCUUAAAGAAAGAUAAUAAUAAUUGAAAAGUAAGCUUCAGCACAAUACAGGCUAUGGAACUGACACUAGUAAUCCCCUGGGAGCUGAAGGAAUAUCUUCUGAAGAGUUCCAGAAGGAAACUGUUAGUAAAAUGUUCUGAUGUAACGAUUAAUAUUGAUUCGUUGAUCUUGCACUGUGCAAAGAUUUCUGCCUACAGUGAGGGACUAUAGGUAGGCAGUCAGGUAACAGCUACUGGGAUAAACGACACAUUUUAUUGGAGAAACUGUCCCGUUAGAAAAGUGUUGACAGCUGUAAGCUGCUCAGUGUGACAGGAGUUCCCAAUGAGAAGCUAUUUCUAGUGCACUGUUUACAAAGCACUGCUAUCACUGUGGCAUCUGAGAGCCAAGAGGGGUUUAAAGGCACACCACAAAUGGACAGGGAACAGCCAGUUCAGCUCUCUGCCCUGCCCUGCUUCAGGAGUAAUGCAAGCUUCAAGUUACCACUGCAAGUGCAUCCAAAUAUAUCAGUAUGAUAUACUCUGCUAUCAGCAUGGUGGUUUCAGAAAAGCUGGGGUACAGAUGUUGCCUGAACUGUGUGUGUGGUGAAGAUCAUAAGGAUAAAUAACUACAGAAAAACCUUCAAUCUAAAUAAUAAAGGUCUGAAAAAUAUAUAUAUAAAAACACCUGUUAUGUAUGAGGGAAGUAGACUCCCAUGUGGGAAGACUUCAUUAACAGACCAGGAAGGUAGUUUUAUCAUUUGACAUGUUUGUAUGUCCCUCAAAGAGAACUAUUCUAUGUGAAUAUUUAGAAUGUUCAUUCUAUAUAUAUAUAUCUUCAAUAUGUAAUUAGCUGUGUAAGACUACAUCUCCAUCAGUGUUUUCCCCUCAGAGGUCAAAGUCCAAGAGCUUACCCAGGGU
Tympanuchus pallidicinctus (lesser prairie-chicken) is the source of this 3368-nucleotide long non-coding RNA. RefSeq lists it as uncharacterized. Lineage: Eukaryota; Metazoa; Chordata; Aves; Galliformes; Phasianidae. The record is from RefSeq and is a predicted model, not a curated record. The transcript has 3 exons.